This 329-nucleotide ribosomal RNA is filed under the name uncultured bacterium. RNAcentral's name for it is "bacterial SSU rRNA". It matches the Rfam family "Bacterial small subunit ribosomal RNA", at positions 163 to 507 of the family's 1533-position model. The record is from RNAcentral.
CUAAUACCGAAUAUUCAGCCUUGCAGGCAUCUGCGAGGCUGGAAAGUUUCUCGGUCUGGGAUGAGCCCGCGGCCUAUCAGCUAGUUGUGAGGUAAUGGCUCACCAAGGCGACGACGGGUAGCCGGCCUGAGAGGGCGACCGGCCACACCGGGACUGAGACACGGCCCAGACUCCUACGGGAGGCAGCAGUGGGGAAUAUUGCGCAAUGGGCGAAAGCCUGACGCAGCAACGCCGCGUGCGGGAUGAAGGCCUUCGGGUUGUAAACCGCUCUCAGCAGGGAAGAAGCGAAAGUGACGGUACCUGCAGAAGAAGCACCGGCUAACUACGUG